Cavia porcellus (domestic guinea pig) is the source of this 1565-nucleotide long non-coding RNA. RefSeq lists it as uncharacterized. The transcript has 2 exons. The record is from RefSeq and is a predicted model, not a curated record. Lineage: Eukaryota; Metazoa; Chordata; Mammalia; Rodentia; Caviidae.
CAGAAACGGUCUCUGGGCAGCUGUGCCUUCUUCUGAUGCACCACACUCACCAGCGUUGCUUCCAGAAGCUAGACAAGCAUAUGCUUGCCCUGCUGUUUAUAUUCUGAAAUAAUGAGCAGAAAUUCUUUGCCCGCAGACAAGCACAUCUGAGUUUGAAGACUGCACAGAAAUAGGAAUGAAGACCAAAAAAGGAGAAAGCUGAUUAAAUUGCGGCCAGCCCUGCUGUCCAAGGCCGUGCCUCUCAGGGAGGGAAGCAGGCUUAGCCUUUGUUUGCAGAGCUUCCAGAGCUCAGGUCCUUCCCGGGCUGUGCAUCCACCCGGGUCAGUGUGUGGUGACCUUUUGGCUGGCGCACAUCCCCUUGUGGUCAAGUUCUAGAGGCCGGAAUGGUCAAGACCAAAGCCGCCCUUCUUUGGUGCCAGGAGAGGAUUCUCCGUCUGUUUCUGAUGUGGCUCCUGGCUGCUGGUCUCCCUGGGACGAUGACCGCUGCAUCUUCCUGUGGCAGGAGAAACUGAGGGAACGGUCUCGCCUGUGCAGGUCCUUUACACGGUGAUAAUUCCCCCCAGGAGGGCCUUGCCCCUGUAGUGUGAUCUCUCCCUAGAGCCCACGCCUCUUCACACCACCAUAUUAGCAACUAAGCUUCAACCAGGAAGUGGGGAGAGGGACAUAUUCAAGACCAUGACUACAAUGAACUCCAUUCACUAAUGGACCUUGUGAACUGGAAGACAGGCAUGUGAAACAUAUUCUUCAGGUUUCUAAAACAUAAAAACCACUUCUAGUCACUACGAGUCUUCUUAUUCUAGUUGUUUCAAAACAGAUGCAUAGGCUCUGAGCAAUUUUCAUUAUUCAUCCACCUAUUUUCUUCCCCCCUGGAAUGUCAGCAGUUCCUUUCCUGCUGGUCAGGAGCCAUAUUGUUUGAAAGAUGGAUUGCUGAGUUCGAGUUUGCAGAAGUGGUCCUCAGUAGGGCCUGGUCCUCUGAGGUCCACUUGCCUCAGGCUCUGCCCUGGCAGGGGCAGCACAGUCAUCUACAGGCAGAGAGGGAAGCACAGGACUCCUAGAAAAGGCAGCACUGAGGCCAAGUCUAAUGUGAGAGAGCACACAGACUUUGCCCCUUCUGAAAGAUCACCAGGAGCUCAUUUUGAAGUGAAAGUGAGCAUUAAGAUCCCUUUAAUACUGAAUUUGCAGUGGAGUUGGAGUCCCUAACAUGACCUAAACUUCACAGCAGGGCGGACCUGAGCUCUUUAGCAGCAGAGACGAAUAGAAUCUUCUUAGCUCCCCGUUAUCUGAGCUAAGCAGACACCACCAAGCUUUUAGGGACCAGCAUGAGCCCCCAGACUUAACAAGUUCCAAACUAGCACAGUCUCAAAGGAGGGGAAUCAUUGAGAGGUUUGAGAGAAAAUGUGAAGCCAGAAAAAGGUGCAGAAAAGGCAAGAGCAGCUGGGACCAGAAGCUUCUCCCACGUCAGCUCCACAGCCAGCCCGGCCUCUGAUCACCUCCGAGAAAAAUUUACAAGCUGAUUGAUUUUCAGAGUUUCUGGGCAUGUAUUAGAAAUAAAAUAAAUAACCAAA